This 74-nucleotide transfer RNA is filed under the name Deltaproteobacteria bacterium. RNAcentral describes it as "tRNA-Met". It matches the Rfam family "tRNA". From Rfam's summary of the family: Transfer RNA (tRNA) molecules are approximately 80 nucleotides in length. Their secondary structure includes four short double-helical elements and three loops (D, anti-codon, and T loops). Lineage: Bacteria; Pseudomonadati; Myxococcota; Myxococcia. The record is from RNAcentral.
GGGCUUGUAGCUCAGUUGGUCAGAGCACCCGGCUCAUACCCGGAGGGUCUCAGGUUCGAGUCCUGGCGGGCCCA